GAGUGGUGUUGACCCACAUGCUUUUGGAAAUGUUAUGAUGCCAGUGAUGUACCAGCAGAUGUUCCAGGUGCCUCCGAAGCCAAAUGAGACCGUGCAGGAUACUUCAGCCAAUGGAAAAAGUAAGCGACCUCGCGGUCAGAAGCUCACAGAGACAUCCCAACAGGCAAAUGGAACCCCAGCAUCUGCAUCUGGCUAGGGUGGACUACUAACAUUUUGAACAGGAUUUCUGUACAUACGUUGACUUCCCAGAAAUUUUACAUAUGAACGCUGGCACUAACAAUUACCUCAAUGUUGUCCAAGGUAUUUGGCCCAGGACUGGAAAUUGUCUCUCGCACACUUUCUUUUUGUGUGUGGCUGAUUUCUGCAAGACAGGUUCCACCUAAUGUACAAGUCCCCUUGUCCUUUUUAUGAUAUGUAAAUGAAUGUUCUUGGAACAGCUCUAUCAUGGCUCAUGAGUACGUGUCAGUUGCCUUCGAAUUCCCAUUGUCGAUACCAGAUCGAUGGCUAAUGCAUAUAUAGAAAUAUAAAGGGGACAGAUUAUGAUUA
Zea mays is the source of this 546-nucleotide long non-coding RNA. RefSeq lists it as uncharacterized. The record is from RefSeq and is a predicted model, not a curated record. Lineage: Eukaryota; Viridiplantae; Streptophyta; Magnoliopsida; Poales; Poaceae. The transcript has 3 exons.